GGCAUUCUUAGAGUCAGCCUGCCCAGUGAUAACAUUCAACGGCCGCAGUACCCUAACUGCGCGAAGGUAGCAUAAUCACUUGUUCUUUAAAUAGGGACUAGUAUCAACGGCAUCACGAGGGUUGCACUGUCUCCUUUGUCUAAUCAGUGAAACUGAUCUCCCCGUGAAAAAGCGGGGAUACACCUAUAAGACGAGAAGACCCCAUGGAGCUUUAAACCUACAGCAACUCAACCACAUAAUCCCACACAACCUUAGAGACAUGCCUGUUGGCUUUAGGUUGGGGUGACCGCGGAGUAAAAAUCAUCCUCCACAACACAAAGAUCUAAAUCUUUAUUCAAGAGCCACUACUCUAAAAAUUAGCAUACUAAUGUACACUGACCCGAUAAUCGACUAAUGAACCAAGUUACCCUGGGGAUAACAGCGCAAUCUAUUUCAAGAGUUCAUAUCGACAAAUAGGCUUACGACCUCGAUGUUGGAUCAGGGUACCCUAGUGGUGUAGCAGCUACUGAAGGUUCGUUUGUUCAACGAUUAAAACCCUACGUGAUCUGAGUCAAGACCGGA
RNAcentral lists this ribosomal RNA (561 nucleotides) under Kurixalus silvaenaias. Its description in RNAcentral is "partial large subunit ribosomal RNA". It matches the Rfam family "Bacterial large subunit ribosomal RNA", at positions 1838 to 2620 of the family's 2925-position model. The record is from RNAcentral. Lineage: Eukaryota; Metazoa; Chordata; Amphibia; Anura; Rhacophoridae.